RNAcentral lists this ribosomal RNA (482 nucleotides) under uncultured bacterium. RNAcentral describes it as "partial 16S ribosomal RNA". It matches the Rfam family "Bacterial small subunit ribosomal RNA", at positions 30 to 507 of the family's 1533-position model. The record is from RNAcentral.
AUUGAACGCUGGCGGCAUGCCUUACACAUGCAAGUCGAACGGUAACAGGUCUUCGGAUGCUGACGAGUGGCGAACGGGUGAGUAAUACAUCGGAACGUGCCCAGACGUGGGGGAUAACGAGGCGAAAGCUUUGCUAAUACCGCAUACGAUCUAAGGAUGAAAGCAGGGGACCGCAAGGCCUUGUGCGUUUGGAGCGGCCGAUGGCAGAUUAGGUAGUUGGUGGGAUAGAAGCUUACCAAGCCGACGAUCUGUAGCUGGUCUGAGAGGACGACCAGCCACACUGGGACUGAGACACGGCCCAGACUCCUACGGGAGGCAGCAGUGGGGAAUUUUGGACAAUGGGCGAAAGCCUGAUCCAGCAAUGCCGCGUGCAGGAUGAAGGCCUUCGGGUUGUAAACUGCUUUUGUACGGAACGAAAAGGCUCUGGCUAAUACCUGGGGCACAUGACGGUACCGUAAGAAUAAGCACCGGCUAACUACGUG